UUUCCGUAGGUGAACCUGCGGAAGGAUCAUUACUGAGUGAGGGCCCCUCGGGGUCCAACCUCCCACCCGUGUUUAACGAACCUUGUUGCUUCGGCGGGCCCGCCUCACGGCCGCCGGGGGGCAUCUGCCCCCGGGCCCGCGACCGCCGAAGCCACCUGUGAACGCUGUCUGAAGUAUGCAGUCUGAGACAAUUAUUAAAUUAAUUAAAACUUUCAACAACGGAUCUCUUGGUUCCG
Molecule: unclassified non-coding RNA, 236 nt
Filed under: plant metagenome
Description: partial contains small subunit ribosomal RNA, internal transcribed spacer 1, and 5.8S ribosomal RNA
Source: RNAcentral